RNAcentral lists this ribosomal RNA (497 nucleotides) under uncultured bacterium. Its description in RNAcentral is "partial 16S ribosomal RNA". It matches the Rfam family "Bacterial small subunit ribosomal RNA", at positions 28 to 507 of the family's 1533-position model. The record is from RNAcentral.
GAUGAACGCUGGCGGCGUGCCUAAUACAUGCAAGUCGAGCGAACAGAUAAAGAGCUUGCUCCUUUGACGUUAGCGGCGGACGGGUGAGUAACACGUGGAUAACCUACCUAUAAGACUGGGAUAACUUCGGGAAACCGGAGCUAAUACCGGAUAACAUAUUGAACCGCAUGGUUCAAUAGUGAAAGGCGGCUUUGCUGUCACUUAUAGAUGGAUCCGCGCCGUAUUAGCUAGUUGGUAAGGUAACGGCUUACCAAGGCAACGAUACGUAGCCGACCUGAGAGGGUGAUCGGCCACACUGGAACUGAGACACGGUCCAGACUCCUACGGGAGGCAGCAGUAGGGAAUCUUCCGCAAUGGGCGAAAGCCUGACGGAGCAACGCCGUGUGAGUGAUGAAGGUCUUCGGAUCGUAAAACUCUGUUAUCAGGGAAGAACAAAUGUGUAAGUAACUGUGCACAUCUUGACGGUACCUGAUCAGAAAGCCACGGCUAACUACGUG